This is a long non-coding RNA of Gorilla gorilla gorilla (western lowland gorilla), 1424 nucleotides long. RefSeq lists it as uncharacterized. The transcript is spliced from 3 exons. The record is from RefSeq and is a predicted model, not a curated record. Lineage: Eukaryota; Metazoa; Chordata; Mammalia; Primates; Hominidae.
AUUUGAAACCUGUCCCUAUAUUUUCCUUCCCAGGAACCCCUGGAUAAAGACCAGCUCAACCAUUGCUGAGAAAACAGACCUAGGCUUCCCAGGGCGGUUAACCCGCCGGCCUCUGGGCAGAGACUAAAAGACAAAACAAAAUAAAACAACAACAAAAAACUCCCAGUGUGUUUCCUACUCUUCUUUUUCUUGGAGAAAAGCAAAGGGAGAGAAAUGGACUUCACCAGUGGUCUUUGGCUUCAUCAGUUCACAGGGAGCACUUGAAGGACUAAGUACUGUGGAGAUCUUGGUGUCUUUAGGGUAGAGCAAAGUCCUCUUCUGGCCCCAUUCCGAGAUCUCAUCCUCUUCUGAAUGGAUAUCUGUGUUGGUAAUCUGGAACACCACGGGGAGGGAUUUUAUCGUCACUGAGUUCCAGUGAAUGCUUCUAGAAGACUUGCAGGAGAUUCUGAUUGAGUACUAUGUUUCACCCAAUUCCUGUUCGCCCUCUUUACCUCCAAUAUAAAAACAACUUUGGAAAGCAUUCCCAUUUGGCCUUUGUAAAAGGGUAAGUGAAAUACCUAUCUCAUUUUAGUUCACCUGUAAAAUGGGUUUCUCAUUUCUCGAUCAAGCCUAGUGUGAAGGGACGCAUUGGACUUUAAAUUGUUUUAUACCCUUCAUCUAUUUUUUUUAAAGAUCUGAACUGUUGAUGUACAGUUUUUAAAAUGCUAGAGCUAGCAAAAGUUGACAACUUUCCAUCUGAUUGUAUUUAUUGAAACGUGCAUCUACAUAUAUUUACUGGACUUCUUAGUGUACAUUUUUCUUCCUCUAGGAAAUGGCAUCAAGAUGGUUCAACUAAGACAUGAUCACUAAAAACAUUAUAAUAAUACCUUUUUGAAAACCUCAGUUUCUCCUGUUUACUAAAUAUUUAUUUCAUCAACAUGGGCUGCGUUCCACUGUGUCAGGAUUCUGCAUGUGGGUGGAGCACUGUUCCAGCCUGAGAAGAUGGUUCUGAGGCCACUUAGCAAGACAUUUUCCAGCAUGAGCAGGUUUCUCUGUGGAAAUAGUGACACCUGUUCUGGUGUGUUGUCUUUCCUCAGGGAACUUAAGGGGUACAAAGCUCCUGAAAAUGUUCUUUAUGCUGGUUGAAGCUCUUAUGUCGCUGUACUGAUUCCCUACGAUGCAGAUUUGAAUCACAGAGCAAUUAAAAUAUGGAUCAAAUAAGGCUGGGGUUCACCAAGGCUGAAAGCUGUAGCCAUUCAAGGCAUCAUUUCUGUCAUGAAAAUAUAGGACCUUUUCAAAACAUGCCUUCAGGAAGGUGUUCCCUUUUCAAACAAAAGUCUAAUGACUGCAUAACUCUUCUUGACCACAUCUUACACUUUCUCUAGACUUGCUUGUUUACAGCUACUGGAACAAAAAGAUGAAAUGAAUAAAGCACACUGAUUGUC